RNAcentral lists this ribosomal RNA (1629 nucleotides) under Musa schizocarpa. Its description in RNAcentral is "SSU rRNA". The stretch from base 355 to 1629 matches the Rfam family "Eukaryotic small subunit ribosomal RNA". The record is from RNAcentral. Lineage: Eukaryota; Viridiplantae; Streptophyta; Magnoliopsida; Zingiberales; Musaceae.
AUAUGGAUAUGUUAGUCACUUGUUGAAAGCUCUUUAUGCUCACCCCCGCUUUGUUGAUAAAUUUUUUCGGAUAGCAUAUUGCUUGCUUAAAUGUUAAGAUUGGGUGAGGCGGUGGAAAGUUUAGAAGAAUUUGGGCAGAUCCUUGUUAGCAUAUGUGUAUUUGUUGUAUAAGAUACUCUACAUCUUAUGAAAUGUGACGAUGAAUCUAAACCUGUGGAUUUUGUGUAAGAUAAAGGAUCCCUCAUGUAUAGGAUUUUGGAAUGUUAAGUUAAAUUCGUGUAAUGAUAUGAUCUUAUGGUAAUCGUUGGUUUGGUGACUGCAUAGACUUCCCCAUUUGUGAAUUUAUAUUAUGGUUAUUAUUUUGAUGAGUUGAGUUCUGAUUGUAUGAAUUAUCGAUUGAUGUGUGGUAUGUUUAUGAAUUGCACAGGGUUAUGAAUUUGUAGACUAUAGAGGUGAAAUUUUGAUAUGAAUGUUUUCUUAGUGACCUCAAAUGUGUGCUUGGAUCCUGGGUUAGUUAUGAUGAAAAUUUUAAAUAUUGUCGAUAUUUUGAGGGGCGUGACAUCCGGCGCUAUUACUUUGAAGAAAUUAGAGUGCUCAAAGUAAGCCCACGCUCUGGAUACAUUAGCAUGGGAUAACAUCACAGGAUUUCGGUCCUAUUGUGUUGGCCUUCGGGAUCGGAGUAAUGAUUAAGAGGGACAGUCGGGGGCAUUAGUAUUUCAUAGUCAGAGGUGAAAUUCUUGGAUUUAUGAAAGAUGAACCACUGCAAAAGCAUUUUCCAAGGAUGUUUUCAUUAAUCAAGAACGAAAGUUGGGGGCUCAAGACGCAUCGAUACCGUCCUAGUCUCAACCAUAAACGAUGCCGACCGAGGGAUCGGCGGGAUGUUGCUCUUAGGACUCCCGGCACCUUAUGAGAAAUCAAAGUCUUUGGGUUCCGGGGAGUAUGGUCGCAAGGCUGAAAACUUAAAGGAAUUGACGGAAGGGCACCACCAGGGGAGGCAGCCUCGCUGCUUAAUUUGACUCAACACGGGAAACUUACCAGUCCGCACAUAGCAAGGAUUGACAGAUCGAGAGCUCUUUCUUGAUUCUAUGGGUGGUGGUGCAUGGCCAUUCUUAGUUGGUGGAGCGAUUUUGUCCGGUUAAUUCCGAUAACGAACGAGACCUCACCGCUAACUAACUAGCUUCGUGGAGGCAUCCCUCCCGCCCGCCUUCUUAGAGGGACUAUGGCCGCUUAGGCCACGGAAGUUUGAGGCAAUAACAGGUCUGUGAUGCCCUUAGAUGUUCCGGGUCGCGCAUCGCCGCCACACCGAUGUAUUCAACAAGUCUAUAGCCUUGGCCGACGGGCCCGAAGUAAUCUUUGAAAAUUUCAUCGUGAUGGGGAUAGAUCAUUGCAAUUGUUGGUCUUCAACAAGGAAUUUCCUAAUAAGCGCGGUCAUCGGCUUCGGCGUUGACAACGUCCCUACCCUUUUGUACACACCGCCCGCCGCUCCCUACUGAUUGAAUGGUCCGUGAAGUGUUCGGAUCGAGGCGGCGGGGCGGUUCCGCCGCGUGACGUCGCGAGAAGUCCACCGAACCUUAUCCUUUAGAGGAAGGAGAAGUCGUAACAAGGUUUCCGUAGGUGAACCUGCAGAAG